This 634-nucleotide ribosomal RNA is filed under the name uncultured bacterium. Its description in RNAcentral is "bacterial SSU rRNA". It matches the Rfam family "Bacterial small subunit ribosomal RNA", at positions 9 to 651 of the family's 1533-position model. The record is from RNAcentral.
GAGUUUGAUCCUGGCUCAGGAUGAACGCUGGCGGCGUGCUUAACACAUGCAAGUCGAACGGACUCAUAUUGAAACCUAGUGAUUUAUGAGUUAGUGGCGGACGGGUGAGUAACGCGUGGAUAACCUGCCGUAUACCGGGGGAUAACACUUAGAAAUAGGUGCUAAUACCGCAUAAGCGCACGGCUCCGCAUGGGGCAGUGUGAAAAACUCCGGUGGUAUACGAUGGAUCCGCGUCUGAUUAGCUAGUUGGCGGGGUAACGGCCCACCAAGGCGACGAUCAGUAGCCGGACUGAGAGGUUGGCCGGCCACAUUGGGACUGAGACACGGCCCAGACUCCUACGGGAGGCAGCAGUGGGGAAUAUUGGGCAAUGGGCGCAAGCCUGACCCAGCAACGCCGCGUGAAGGAAGAAGGCUUUCGGGUUGUAAACUUCUUUUAUUCGGGACGAAGAAAGUGACGGUACCGAAUGAAUAAGCCACGGCUAACUACGUGCCAGCAGCCGCGGUAAUACGUAGGUGGCAAGCGUUAUCCGGAUUUAUUGGGUGUAAAGGGCGUGUAGGCGGGAAUGCAAGUCAGAUGUGAAAACUCAGGGCUCAACCCUGAGCCUGCAUUUGAAACUGUAUUUCUUGAGUGCUG